UUGAACGCUGGCGGCAUGCCUUACACAUGCAAGUCGAACGGGCUUUAGGGGCUUGCUCCUAAAGUUAGUGGCGAACGGGUGAGUAAAGUAUCGGAACGUACCAUUCAGUGGGGGAUAACGUAGCGAAAGUUACGCUAAUACCGCAUAUUCUGUGAGCAGGAAAGCAGGGGAUCGCAAGACCUUGCGCUGAUUGAGCGGCCGAUAUCAGAUUAGCUAGUUGGCGGGGUAAUAGCCCACCAAGGCGACGAUCUGUAGCGGGUCUGAGAGGAUGAUCCGCCACACUGGGACUGAGACACGGCCCAGACUCCUACGGGAGGCAGCAGUGGGGAAUUUUGGACAAUGGGCGCAAGCCUGAUCCAGCCAUGCCGCGUGAGUGAAGAAGGCCUUCGGGUUGUAAACUGCUUUUGUACGGAGCGAAAAGGCUCUCUCUAAUACAGGGGGCUCAUGACGGUACCGUAAGAAGAAGCACCGGCUAACUACGU
This 482-nucleotide ribosomal RNA is filed under the name uncultured bacterium. Its description in RNAcentral is "bacterial SSU rRNA". It matches the Rfam family "Bacterial small subunit ribosomal RNA", at positions 30 to 506 of the family's 1533-position model. The record is from RNAcentral.